ACGGCGUCGGCGACGGACCCGGCCGCCGCGGCCCCGGCGGCGACCAGGUCGGCGGUCCGGCCGGGCGUGCGGUUCCAGACCGUGACCCGGUG
This 92-nucleotide transfer RNA is filed under the name Virgisporangium ochraceum. RNAcentral describes it as "tRNA-Gly". Lineage: Bacteria; Bacillati; Actinomycetota; Actinomycetes; Micromonosporales; Micromonosporaceae. The record is from RNAcentral.